UGCUUGCACUACUGUCCGGCGAGUGGCGAACGGGUGAGUAAUAUAUCGGAACGUACCGAGUAAUGGGGGAUAACCAAUCGAAAGAUUGGCUAAUACCGCAUACGUCCUACGGGAGAAAGCGGGGGAUCGCAAGACCUCGCGUUAUUCGAGCGGCCGAUAACUGAUUAGCUAGUUGGUGGGGUAAAGGCCUACCAAGGCGACGAUCAGUAGCGGGUCUGAGAGGACGAUCCGCCACACUGGGACUGAGACACGGCCCAGACUCCUACGGGAGGCAGCAGUGGGGAAUUUUGGACAAUGGGGGCAACCCUGAUCCAGCCAUGCCGCGUGUAUGAAGAAGGCCUUCGGGUUGUAAAGUACUUUUGUUAGGGAAGAAAAGGGAAGUGCUAAUACCACUUUUUGCUGACGGUACCUAAAGAAUAAGCACCGGCUAACUACGUGCCAGCAGCCGCGGUAAUACGUAGGGUGCAAGCGUUAAUCGGAAUUACUGGGCGUAAAGCGAGCGCAGACGGUUAUUUAAGCAGGAUGUGAAAUCCCCGGGCUCAACCUGGGAACUGCGUUCUGAACUGGAUAGCUAGAGUGUGUCAGAGGGGGGUAGAAUUCCACGUGUAGCAGUGAAAUGCGUAGAGAUGUGGAGGAAUACCGAUGGCGAAGGCAGCCCCCUGGGAUAACACUGACGUUCAUGCUCGAAAGCGUGGGUAGCAAACAGG
This 707-nucleotide ribosomal RNA is filed under the name uncultured beta proteobacterium. RNAcentral's name for it is "bacterial SSU rRNA". It matches the Rfam family "Bacterial small subunit ribosomal RNA", at positions 77 to 776 of the family's 1533-position model. The record is from RNAcentral. Lineage: Bacteria; Pseudomonadati; Pseudomonadota; Betaproteobacteria.